UCGAGGAUCUUCGUCAAUGGGGGAAACCCUGAACGAGCGAUGCCGCGUGAGCGAUGAAGGCCUUCGGGUUGUAAAGCUCAAAAGAGGUGAGAAAGGGAAACUUGAUCAAACCUCAGUAAGCUCGGGCUAAGUUCGUGCCAGCAGCCGCGGUAAUACGUAGGGUGCAAGCGUUAAUCGGAAUUACUGGGCGUAAAGCGUGCGCAGGCGGUUAUGCAAGACAGGUGUGAAAUCCCCGGGCUUAACCUGGGAACUGCACUUGUGACUGCAUAGCUGGAGUACGGCAGAGGGGGAUGGAAUUCCGCGUGUAGCAGUGAAAUGCGUAGAUAUGCGGAGGAACACCGAUGGCGAAGGCAGUCCCCUGGGCCUGUACUGACGCUCAUGCACGAAAGCGUGGGGAGCAAACAGGAUUAGAUACCCACGUAGUCCCUGAGCGGGCUGGCAAGGCGCAU
Molecule: ribosomal RNA, 449 nt
Filed under: uncultured bacterium
Lineage: Bacteria
Description: bacterial SSU rRNA
Rfam family: Bacterial small subunit ribosomal RNA
Source: RNAcentral